UGGGGAAUAUUGCACAAUGGGCGCAAGCCUGAUGCAGCCAUGCCGCGUGUGUGAAGAAGGCCUUCGGGUUGUAAAGCACUUUCAGCGGUGAGGAAGGCGAUAAGGUUAAUAACCUUGUCGAUUGACGUUACCCGCAGAAGAAGCACCGGCUAACUCCGUGCCAGCAGCCGCGGUAAUACGGAGGGUGCAAGCGUUAAUCGGAAUUACUGGGCGUAAAGCGCACGCAGGCGGUUUGUUAAGUCAGAUGUGAAAUCCCCGGGCUCAACCUGGGAACUGCAUCUGAUACUGGCAAGCUUGAGUCUCGUAGAGGGGGGUAGAAUUCCAGGUGUAGCGAUGAAAUGCGUAGAGAUCUGGAGGAAUACCGGUGGCGAAGGCGGCCCCCUGGACGAAGACUGACGCUCAGGUGCGAAAGCGUGGGGAGCAAACAGG
Molecule: ribosomal RNA, 429 nt
Filed under: Chloroflexota bacterium
Lineage: Bacteria; Bacillati; Chloroflexota
Description: Chloroflexi bacterium partial 16S ribosomal RNA
Rfam family: Bacterial small subunit ribosomal RNA
Source: RNAcentral